UGAGGAAUGUUUACAUUGAGUGAUAAGAAGAGAACAAAGAAUCUUCAAAGGAGAAAAACAAAAACAGAUCUGAGAGAGGAGAAAGCCAGGAGAGUGAGGGGAUCAUCAGGGAGGGAAUGGGUGAGCUGCAGAGAACAUGGAGGCAGAGAACUGGACAAAAGUCACCUCAGGCUUUGGGAGGUACCUGUCAUGAGAGCAGAAUCAGGUGUCCUCUCCCCCCACCCCCUUACACACACACAUACCCUGUCUCUCUCUCUCUCACACACACACCAUGCAGAGGAGUUCAGGGACAAACAAGAUAAGAGAUAAGGAUGAUGAAGUGGCAUUUGCAAACAAACAUCUUUAAGGUUUAAAGGAUGUUACAUAACUGAAAAGGUGGGAUCAUGUGUGCUCUUAAGAAUACAGAGUUUCAAA
This 414-nucleotide long non-coding RNA is filed under the name Rattus norvegicus (Norway rat). RNAcentral describes it as "long non-coding RNA NONRATT006974". Lineage: Eukaryota; Metazoa; Chordata; Mammalia; Rodentia; Muridae. The record is from RNAcentral.